This 1139-nucleotide long non-coding RNA is filed under the name Hordeum vulgare. RNAcentral describes it as "long non-coding RNA (HVUL_LNC017075)". The record is from RNAcentral. Lineage: Eukaryota; Viridiplantae; Streptophyta; Magnoliopsida; Poales; Poaceae.
ACUCGAUUUUUUAUGCAUGUUGCAUGAUUUUCCCGUCAGCUCAAGUUGGUGAACGUUGUGUUGUGUCAUACACUUGGAUACCAGAACAAGGUCACUUAAUCAACCAGUGAUCUGCAUAUACCAGGAUAAAAGGUCAACUUAACUUCUCCAAAACAAAUCAGCCAACCUAACUGAUCUACAAACAGCCUGUUUAUGUCUGCCACUCCUGUUCACCAACUUGUCCACCAACAUUUCCAAGUAGAGUAUUUGAGUCAAAAAUCAAACACAGCUCAGAUAAUAUGGGUGUGGUGGGUUUUGGUAGGAUUAAACCUACAGUGAUUAGUUGCACCAAGUUGUGCGGCUCAUAAUUUCCCUGUCAACCCAAGUGGGUGAACGUUGGUAGAAGAAAUUCUUCUAGAUGCACGUUCUGCUGCCGCUCAUAGAUAAACAUCAUGCAGCAUGGCUUUUCCAUAAUUUUAGAUAAUUCAAGAAGCAAGCACAAAUUCAUCAUUAUCAACAAUAUGCCGAUUACCAGUGACGAUUACCAAUUGAGAUUUCGUCGCAUUAUUCCGUUGAGCAUGCCGUCCCAUCUUAGCUGUAGUCACUACCCAUUUAUUGUUCAUUUUACAGUGGAGGCUGGUCUUCGCAUAUCAUGCACUUGCACCCGACGGCAUCGCACUGGCCUUGCUUGGGCACCUUCCUAAGGUCGAAGCAUGCCAUAUCGCAAGUGUCGUUGUUACAUGGCUUUGGUGACGGGAUAAGGGUUGCCGCACACCUGUAGUUGAAUUUGGCGCUACCGUCCAUUGACGCCUCCGUUACCACGCCUGCAGAAUCUCCAUGAAGAAAAGGGAUAGUCACAAACCCAUGGCCAUCGUUUGCUGGAUGAUAUUUUUUGAAAGAAAGGGGCUCCCCCCUGCUCCAUUUUAUUAAUGAAGCACACAGCCAGCGAUUAUCCAUUUUACAUACCCAGCCAGUGCUGGAUGAUAUUGUGAAGAAACCGUAUUACAAGAACAAGUGGGUACCUGAUGCUAGCAUGAGCAAGGCGAGGGCCAGGAGCAACACCUGGAUGUGGAUGGUCCUCAUCUUAACCAGUUGUUUGUGUUGAAGGAGGGACUUGUUGAUCGUUGCGUGAUAUAUGUGUGAGUUAUGAAGGAGGACAG